Long non-coding RNA from Pyrus x bretschneideri (Chinese white pear), 550 nucleotides. RefSeq lists it as uncharacterized. The transcript has 2 exons. The record is from RefSeq and is a predicted model, not a curated record. Lineage: Eukaryota; Viridiplantae; Streptophyta; Magnoliopsida; Rosales; Rosaceae.
UGAAGAUACAGAUAAGAUAAUAUAAUUUAGCACACCCCUUAACUCUUCAAAUAUAGUUGAAAUUCCUAUAACAAAAUAUAGAUCUUCAAUAUGGCAGUUGUGACUGCAUAAUUUUAUACAGUUCACACCCACUUAGUUAUACUUGUCAAAACUAUGAUAUUAUUUAGUUGGGUUGCUCAAUCCUCUCUCGCCAUCUGCUCUCUCCGUCCCUCGAUCCACCUCACCCACCGCCAAAUCUCAACGCCAUGUCCUUAGCAAACCACAGGGCAUCGCUAAGGACCAGCCGAUGCCUCGCCGACGAUCGUAUCACUGAUGAAGUGAUGCCCUGAUUACAAAUCUGAAGAGGAUGGUGAAAGAGAUGAUGAGUGAGCAUCAAUAUCUUUGGAGACCUCAACUACACACUGGAGCAAUGUAUGUGGAUCUUCAAUAUCGUCAUGGUGCUUCUCAUACUCCAUAGUCCAGUGCACGUUGCAUCCCUCGCCUUUCGGAGUUGCGUGGAUGGUGGCCUUGAAGCUCUUGUAAUGCUCCAAAAGAUCUCCUUCAAUCACUU